AUUGAACGCUGGCGGCAGGCUUAACACAUGCAAGUCGAGCGAGCGGCGGACGGGUGAGUAAUGUCUGGGAAACUGCCUGAUGGAGGGGGAUAACUACUGGAAACGGUAGCUAAUACCGCAUACCAUCAGAUGUGCCCAGAUGGGAUUAGCUAGUGGGUGGGGUAAUGGCUCACCUAGGCGACGAUCCCUAGCUGGUCUGAGAGGAUGACCAGCCACACUGGAACUGAGACACGGUCCAGACUCCUACGGGAGGCAGCAGGGGGGAAUAUUGCACAAGGGGCGCAAGCCUGAUGCAGCCAUGACGCGUGUGUGAAGAAGGCCUUGGGGUUGUAAAGCACUUUCAGCGAGGAGGGGGUAGGGGAAGAAGAAGCACCGGCUAACUCCGUGCCAGCAGCCGCGGUAAUAG
Molecule: ribosomal RNA, 406 nt
Filed under: uncultured bacterium
Lineage: Bacteria
Description: partial 16S ribosomal RNA
Rfam family: Bacterial small subunit ribosomal RNA
Source: RNAcentral